Molecule: small RNA, 290 nt
Filed under: Podarcis lilfordi (Lilford's wall lizard)
Lineage: Eukaryota; Metazoa; Chordata; Lepidosauria; Squamata; Lacertidae
Source: RNAcentral
UUGCUUUAAAACAAUUAGUGAAUGAACAAUUAUCGGCAGACCAUAUAGAGCCUUCAGUUAGCCCCUAUAAUACACCCAUCUUCGACAUAAAAAAAGAAGAGUGGCAAAUGGAGAUUUCUCCAGGAUUUAAGGAAAAUAAACCAGAUCCUUGAACCCAUGGGGCCUUUGCAGUGUGGUCUGCCUAAUCCAAAUGUGAUUCCACAUUCUUAUCAAUUGGCUAUAAUAGAUUUGCAAGAUUGUUUCUUCUCCAUUCCCCUACAGGAGAAGGAUCGUAAAUUCUUUGCUUUUAC